AUUCAGGAGAGCAGAAACGUCACGUGUAUCUGGGCAGACGUGAAACAAACAGGAAGUCACAAACUGUCACAGGAGGAUAUUUGCUCUCAGGGUUUUGCACAUUUGAUUUUAUUGUUGUUUUUAUGACUUUUUAUUUCCUGUUUCCCCUCGCGCCUGUGGCAGAGUUUAUCCACUGAGCCCGGAGGCACGAGAGGAGCGGGUGUAAGGCCAGGGAGAACCGGCUGGAUGGUCCGGACCAGGCAGGAGCAGCGUCUGCGUCUGUCCCGCUGUCACCAUGGCAACAGAAAGACUCGACUGAAGCCAUCAAAUCUGCUCAAAGACUUUCAGACUGAAACUGCAGCCGCCGUCCUAAACGUGGAGCUGUUCCAACUCUGUUCACAUGGAAUAACUUUACUGAACCAGAGAGUCUGUGUCUGCCAUGGAAAAGGCUCAGAAACGAGCUCGUCCUCUCACAGCAAACGAGUCAGGCUGAAGCUGCUCCUGCUCCCACAAACCAUCCAGGUGCACUUGAUGAAGCCCUUAAAUACCAAGGCGUUGGAAGCCAGGCUGGAGAAAGUGACUUUGUGUCCGCUCUUUAGUCGCUGCUGCGCCUCGGACGAUCUGCAAAUGUCAGAGCAAGAGAAACAAACCUGUAGAGAAAAUAAGUUCCAUUUGCACAAUGACAGAACGCUAACAGGAAGUGACCGUUUUUCGGGGUUCGUGAAAAAGGUCUAUUUAAUGUUUUGA
RNAcentral lists this long non-coding RNA (726 nucleotides) under Neogobius melanostomus (round goby). RNAcentral's name for it is "lncRNA (ENSNMLG00000000028.1)". The record is from RNAcentral. Lineage: Eukaryota; Metazoa; Chordata; Actinopteri; Gobiiformes; Gobiidae.